GGCAUCCGUGUUUAUAUCAGCAGCGGCUUAUCCAGUGUGUGCCUUCGGCGCCUAGUCGUCGUCGUCUUCCUCGUCAUUCUCGUCAUCCUCGCAGAGGUCGCUGUCGUGAAGGGGCACCACGACACCACAUACGUCGUGAAACUGCUCGAGACAGUACAGGGGUACAAGGUCCUCCACUUCUUUCGACACCCAUAGUGUGCA
This 201-nucleotide long non-coding RNA is filed under the name Dermacentor andersoni. Its description in RNAcentral is "uncharacterized LOC126523637". The record is from RNAcentral. Lineage: Eukaryota; Metazoa; Arthropoda; Arachnida; Ixodida; Ixodidae.